CAGCUUAUCUGAGUGAGGUGAGCUGAUGAAGAACUUCAUCAUGGACCCUGGCCUAAAUGAAGUAGUCCUACAUGACAGAUGGCGAAAGUGUUAAGAUACAGGCACUGUACUUCAUACCUCAAGGAUUGCAACAUCCCCACCUGUCCUUCAGGAUACAGGCACUGUACUUCAUACCUCAAGGACUGCAACAUCCCCACCCAUCCUUCAGGAUACAGAAGUAUUUUGUGGAAGACUACCAGGU
Molecule: non-coding RNA, 241 nt
Organism: Cherax quadricarinatus
Lineage: Eukaryota; Metazoa; Arthropoda; Malacostraca; Decapoda; Parastacidae
Source: RefSeq, a predicted model, not a curated record